GAUGAACGCUGGCGGCGUGCCUAAUACAUGCAAGUCGAGCGAAUGGAUUAAGAGCUUGCUCUUAUGAAGUUAGCGGCGGACGGGUGAGUAACACGUGGGUAACCUGCCCAUAAGACUGGGAUAACUCCGGGAAACCGGGGCUAAUACCGGAUAACAUUUUGAACCGCAUGGUUCGAAAUUGAAAGGCGGCUUCGGCUGUCACUUAUGGAUGGACCCGCGUCGCAUUAGCUAGUUGGUGAGGUAACGGCUCACCAAGGCAACGAUGCGUAGCCGACCUGCGAGGGUGAUGGGCCACACUGGGACUGAGACACGGCCCAGACGCCGACGGGAGGCAGCAGUAGGGAAUCUUCCGCAAUGGACGAAAGUCUGACGGAGCAACGCCGCGUGAGUGAUGAAGGCUUUCGGGUCGUAAAACUCUGUUGUUAGGGAAGAACAAGUGCUAGUUGAAUAAGCUGGCACCUUGACGGUACCUAACCAGAAAGCCACGGCUAACUACGUGCCAGCAGCCGCGGUAA
This 515-nucleotide ribosomal RNA is filed under the name uncultured bacterium. RNAcentral's name for it is "partial 16S ribosomal RNA". It matches the Rfam family "Bacterial small subunit ribosomal RNA", at positions 28 to 523 of the family's 1533-position model. The record is from RNAcentral.